Numida meleagris (helmeted guineafowl) is the source of this 1784-nucleotide long non-coding RNA. Lineage: Eukaryota; Metazoa; Chordata; Aves; Galliformes; Numididae. The record is from Ensembl.
GUUUUGUUUUAAGAUAGAGAGGGAAAUGUAGCUUAUUAUACAUAGGUGUUUCUUCCAAGAUGUGUGAAAAGUAAGAACAAGUUAGGAAGCGCAGAAUUUCUUCAGCCAGGUGCUGAGAUCUCCCCAGCUGGGAGCACUGCCAAUGCCUCACAUAGCUGCAGCUUUCACAUGUGUCAAGAUCAUGAAGAUAAGAGGAAUCGAUCAGGGAGUCACUGUAGCAGUCAUCCACUGAGACAGGCUGCUCGGAAACUUCAUGGCUUCACCUGGGAAAGACAUAUAAGGGUUUGGAAUAUUAUAAAUGCAGCCAAAUGAGUAAAGCAAGGAAGUGUUUAUGUAGUUUGGGACGAUCAGGAGGCCUAUGGAAAUAAUGGAGAAUGUCUUCCCUAGGAAGAAUAUAGCUUGGCGUGUUCCAAGGCAGAUGACCCUGGUUUACAUUUGCUCGUGUCAAAGGCACUGCAUGCUACAGACAGAGCUGACCGAAACCAACAGUGUGCUUCACAAAUACCGAUGGAGGGUGAAAAUACAAAAGCAACAUCUAAAGGGAAAUUUUCCACGCACAGGCAUACUGGAAAGAGAAGAGCCUUCGUCAGUGACUCACCAGCGAGGCACGCUGCGCCAGCACCAGGGAAUCACCAGAAGAGCUGAGAACUACCCUGGGCAAAGGUCCUCUGUGAUGGCUGAUGCUCAAAGCAAGAACUGCUGUCUCCCUCUGAGCACGCCAGCACCAUCGCACAGCUGGGCUCUAUCCAUUAAUCGGCUCAAGCAUGGGGUGCAGGACAGGUAAGCGCACAACAUUCGUGCAACUGGGAGAGGGCUAUAUCUGCAGGCACUGUCUGAGAGCAGAUUUCUGUGGGAUGUCCUUUCAGACUGACUUUGGGAAAGGAACCAAUUGGAAUGACAUACGGAAGAGGGAAGUUACUUGGCAGUUUGAACAGAGGCUGGUUAGUAAAUCGUGACGUGCUCACACUGAAAGAACAUGCUGAGUUCGUCUACAUAUGCUUUCCAGCGUUAGUUCCACUCAGUCUUUACUGAAGCUUAACAGUGAUGCUGAGCUCGUGGCUGCCAGCGAACAGCUGUAGCGUCAGAUCUAAGCACCAGUGCUGCACAAAGGCACUGGGAGCUGUCUCCCUGCAGCCACCACCAGCACUGUGCGGUGCCAGGAGAGCAUCACUGCCACCCAGCUCCUCCACUCCCAGCACAGCGCUGUCCUGCGCCUUGCAGCCCCCCUGGGAAAACAGUGGGAAGCAGCGGAGGUGCUGCUUUCUCCAUCCGUGGCAGCCACAGGUAACAAAAGCAUCCGUAUUUUUAAAAAAAGUAACCCUACGCUCCUGGAUUUUUGAUUGGAGUGAUCUGUCAUUAGAAAAGCCAAAACCAGCUCAUCUUGUUCACGAGUGCUCCCACUGACUAAAGCAGCAGUCAGCAUGCACUUUGGUUCUGAACCCAUGCAAUCCUUUUCCAAUGAAGACCUGACAAGCCAGGACAGAUUGCAGUCCAUGAGAUACACGCGGUGUGAUAGUAUUUUACCUGUAGGUGGAUCCUCAUUUUAGAUAGCGCGAUGCAGAGCCAAUGAGCUGAUUCACUGCUGUACUCCUGAUUUUCACUGGAAUAACACCACUGAAUCAUCAGCAAAGUUGAAGUAACACAUGAUAAAAUGGGACCAUUGUGUUUAAGUUUGCAGCAUGUGUAUGGAAAUGACUAGCUCUUUCUUGCAGAACAAUUGAACCAUAUGGAUACUUGUUGUGUGCUGUUUCCCAAAUGUAUCACAAAGAUGACAAUAUGUCACC